AAGUCGUAACAAGGUUUCCGUAGGUGAACCUGCGGAAGGAUCAUUGGAGUAGAGGGGAGGGGGAAUGGAGAGAGAGUUGGAACACGAGUGAAUAAUCUUUAAUCUACAACCAAUACAACAACAACUGCUGACAAUGGAUCUCUGGGCUCUU
RNAcentral lists this unclassified non-coding RNA (151 nucleotides) under fungal sp. Its description in RNAcentral is "partial internal transcribed spacer region". The stretch from base 1 to 46 matches the Rfam family "Eukaryotic small subunit ribosomal RNA", at positions 1786 to 1831 of the family's 1831-position model. Lineage: Eukaryota; Fungi. The record is from RNAcentral.